ACUCAUGGGAGUGGAGGGAUAUGGUGGGAAGAUCAGCCCAACAGUAACCAGGGCAGGAAACCAUGAACUCAUGGGAGUGGAGGGAUAUGGUGGGAAGAUCAGCCCAACAGUAACCAGGGCAGGAAACCAUGAACUCAUGGGAGUGGAGGGAUAUGGUGGGAAGAUCAGCCCAACAGUAGGAUAUGGUGGGAAGAUCAGCCCAACAGUAACCAGGGCAGGAAACCAUGAACUCAUGGGAGUGGAGGGAUAUGGUGGGAAGGUCAGCCCAACAGUAGGAUAUGGUGGGAAGGU
Molecule: non-coding RNA, 291 nt
Organism: Salmo salar (Atlantic salmon)
Lineage: Eukaryota; Metazoa; Chordata; Actinopteri; Salmoniformes; Salmonidae
Source: RefSeq, a predicted model, not a curated record